CAUUCUAUCACCCCUUUAAAUCGUUCUGGUGUUGAUAAGUUGUUCUUUUAUUAGGUUGCGAGCUGUGAACCUAUUGGAUACAAUUCCUGUCGAGUUAUUAAUGUCUUUGAACUCCGGUUGUUUUUUUGUUGAGUACCAGAAUUACGGACUACCCGAAGGAUGGCGAGCCUUGCCCAGCAGAUCUGUGGACGGGGUUGGAUGUGGUGUGGCCAGCCAUAACGACCUGCCACAGAGGACUUGGAUUUGCAUAUUCACUCACUCUGAUACAGAUAAGAUACACACUAACCUACCCGGGUAGAAGCAUUAGAGUUGAUAUUGAACACACAUACAUCCGGAUAUUUCCCCCUAAGACUGAACUUUCUUUCUCUGAGGCAGAAAGUCUCGUCCUCAAUACAGAGGAGCCAUAGGGUUGGACCAACCAACUAAAAAAAGACCUACUUCUUUUGUUUAUUAUUUUCAUUAAGAGCUCUAUUUUAUUUUGGUAUAUACAUCGUAUGGUCUGUAAACUCUGUAAAUGUUGUUGAUUCAUGGUGACAGGCAAUAAAGCUGUCAACUGUUAACCCAACACGCACUCCCUUUGUGAGUUAUCUAAUUCAAGUGUAUACUCCCAUCGGACCUAGAGUGAUGUGUCUCAUCUGCCAAUCAGGUUAGGACCAGAGGUGCUACACUAACGCUAACUAUUUGGUAGCUGCCAUGCUACAAUAGAGAACCUAUUACAAUCAGAUUUUAAGACAGCUCCUAGCUAAACCUAACUAGACUACUAGAGUUGAGCCGGAUACUCGGCUGAAACAAGUAUCCGGUACGGAUAAAGCACUUUUGCCGAGUACGAGUAUUAUACGAGUAAUACGAGUCAAUAUCUGUGCUCGGAUUGAAUAAAAAUCCUCAUUGGGUAGCUGACUGUGUCUGCGUUCUGUGAUAGGCUAGUCACACAGCGCCCCUCCCCUACACACAUACAGAUUUAUUGUGUUGCUGUGUCCCACUCUGCUCACUCACACACAGAACACUGAGAAGAGAACAGCUCUCUCUCUCUCUCUGUCUCUCCCUCAGUCACUCAAGUUCGCGGGUCUUUUCCGUUAACGUUUAGGGUUUCUUCAGCUUCAGAUGCUGUAAAUGUGUACACCAAAGUCUGAAGACAAUGUUCUGAUUUAUUUUCCAAAGGUAUGUGGCUCCAUAAUGUAAUUAGGUUUUAAUGAAGUGCUACAACUUUAUGCAUUUAGGCUGCAGUUAUGCCAUUCUAUAUGGGAAGUUUAAAAGUUAUGAUUGAGAUGAUGGUUUUGUAUGCAUUUUCUAUUACUGAAAGAGUGAUUGGCAGAGAAGCUGUAUACUUUUGAUCGGAUGCUGUAAAUGUGUACACCAAAGUCUGAAGACAAUGUUCUGAUUUAUUUUCCAAAGGAAAAAUAAAGAAGAAGGGUUCAACAUUU
Perca fluviatilis (European perch) is the source of this 1421-nucleotide long non-coding RNA. RefSeq lists it as uncharacterized. The record is from RefSeq and is a predicted model, not a curated record. The transcript is spliced from 2 exons. Lineage: Eukaryota; Metazoa; Chordata; Actinopteri; Perciformes; Percidae.